GACGAACGCUGGCGGCGUGCUUAACACAUGCAAGUCGAACGAUGAAGCCGGAGCUUGCUCCGGUGGAUUAGUGGCGAACGGGUGAGUAACACGUGAGCAAUCUGCCCUUGGCUCUGGGAUAACUGCGGGAAACUGUAGCUAAUACCGGAUACGACACCUUGGGGCAUCCCAGGGUGUGGAAAGAAUUUCGGUCAAGGAUGAGCUCGCGGCCUAUGAGCUAGUUGGUGAGGUAAUGGCUCACCAAGGCGACGACGGGUAGCCGGCCUGAGAGGGUGACCGGCCACACUGGAACUGAGACACGGUCCAGACUCCUACGGGAGGCAGCAGUUUGGAAUUUUGGACAAUGGGCGAAAGCCUGAUCCAGCGACGCCGCGUGCACGAAGAAGGUCUUCGGAUUGUAAAGUGCUUUUGCCGCCGAAAAAUUUUUGAUUGUAGGCGGAGAAUAAGAGGUUGCUAACUCUGUGCCAGCAGCCGCCGUAA
This 480-nucleotide ribosomal RNA is filed under the name uncultured bacterium. Its description in RNAcentral is "partial 16S ribosomal RNA". It matches the Rfam family "Bacterial small subunit ribosomal RNA", at positions 28 to 523 of the family's 1533-position model. The record is from RNAcentral.